UGGGGAAUUUUGGACAAUGGGGGAAACCCUGAUCCAGCCAUCCCGCGUGUGCGAUGAAGGCCUUCGGGUUGUAAAGCACUUUUGGCAGGAAAGAAACGUCAUGGGUUAAUACCCCGUGAAACUGACGGUACCUGCAGAAUAAGCACCGGCUAACUACGUGCCAGCAGCCGCGGUAAUACGUAGGGUGCAAGCGUUAAUCGGAAUUACUGGGCGUAAAGCGUGCGCAGGCGGUUCGGAAAGAAAGAUGUGAAACCCCAGAGCUCAACUUUGGAUCUGCAUUUUUAACUACCGGGCUAGAGUGUGUCAGAGGGAGGUGGAAUUCCGCGUGUAGCAGUGAAAUGCGUAGAUAUGCGGAGGAACACCGAUGGCGAAGGCAGCCUCCUGGGAUAACACUGACGCUCAUGCACGAAAGCGUGGGGAGCAAACAGG
Molecule: ribosomal RNA, 429 nt
Filed under: Acidobacteriota bacterium
Lineage: Bacteria; Pseudomonadati; Acidobacteriota
Description: Acidobacteria bacterium partial 16S ribosomal RNA
Rfam family: Bacterial small subunit ribosomal RNA
Source: RNAcentral